AUACGUAGGGAGCAAGCGUUGUCCGGAAUUACUGGGCGUAAAGGGUGCGUAGGCGGUUUGUCAAGUCGAAUGUGAAAUACCGGGGCUCAACCCCGGGGCUGCAUUCGAAACUGGCAGACUUGAGUGCAGGAGAGGAAAGCGGAAUUCCUAGUGUAGCGGUGAAAUGCGUAGAUAUUAGGAGGAACACCGGUGGCGAAGGCGGCUUUCUGGACUGUAACUGACGCUGAGGCACGAAAGCGGGGGGAGCAAACAGGUUUAGAUCCCCUGGUAGUCCACGCCGUAAACGAUGGAUACUAGGUGUGGGCGUCAUAAGGCGUCCGUGCCGCAGCAAACGCAUUAAGUAUCCCGCCUGGGGAGUACGGCCGCAAGGCUGAAACUCAAAUGAAUUGACGGGG
RNAcentral lists this ribosomal RNA (395 nucleotides) under uncultured bacterium. RNAcentral describes it as "partial 16S ribosomal RNA". It matches the Rfam family "Bacterial small subunit ribosomal RNA", at positions 523 to 918 of the family's 1533-position model. The record is from RNAcentral.